Molecule: non-coding RNA, 60 nt
Organism: Dipodomys ordii (Ord's kangaroo rat)
Lineage: Eukaryota; Metazoa; Chordata; Mammalia; Rodentia; Heteromyidae
Source: Rfam
GUAGCUCAGUGGUAGAGUGCUUGCCUUGCAUGCAUGAGGUCCUGGGUUCGAUUCCUCAGC